UGGGGAAUAUUGCACAAUGGGCGCAAGCCUGAUGCAGCCAUGCCGCGUGUAUGAAGAAGGCCUUCGGGUUGUAAAGUACUUUCAGCGGGGAGGAAGGGAGUAAAGUUAAUACCUUUGCUCAUUGACGUUACCCGCAGAAGAAGCACCGGCUAACUCCGUGCCAGCAGCCGCGGUAAUACGGAGGGUGCAAGCGUUAAUCGGAAUUACUGGGCGUAAAGCGCACGCAGGCGGUUUGUUAAGUCAGAUGUGAAAUCCCCGGGCUCAAACUGGGAACUGCAUCUGAUACUGGCAAGCUUGGGUCUCGUAGAGGGGGGUAGAAUUCCAGGUGUAGCAGUGAAAUGCGUAGAGAUCUGGAGGAAUACCGGUGGCGAAGGCGGCCCCCUGGACGAAGACUGACGCUCAGGUGCGAAAGCGUGGGGAGCAAACAGG
RNAcentral lists this ribosomal RNA (429 nucleotides) under Chloroflexota bacterium. RNAcentral's name for it is "Chloroflexi bacterium partial 16S ribosomal RNA". It matches the Rfam family "Bacterial small subunit ribosomal RNA", at positions 355 to 776 of the family's 1533-position model. The record is from RNAcentral. Lineage: Bacteria; Bacillati; Chloroflexota.